AUUAUUUAAGUAAAAUACGUUAGAUUUUAGAUUUAAUAACACGGAAGUAUUCUUUUGUAGGUAAUA
Molecule: transfer RNA, 66 nt
Filed under: Candidiopotamon okinawense
Lineage: Eukaryota; Metazoa; Arthropoda; Malacostraca; Decapoda; Potamidae
Description: tRNA-Leu
Source: RNAcentral